AAUGAGGACCAUCUUUUCUCCGGACCACGUUUCCUUUGCGUAAGUCAACGGAUUAGAUAUCGUA
RNAcentral lists this small RNA (64 nucleotides) under Sinorhizobium meliloti 2011. Its description in RNAcentral is "putative ncRNA". Lineage: Bacteria; Pseudomonadati; Pseudomonadota; Alphaproteobacteria; Hyphomicrobiales; Rhizobiaceae. The record is from RNAcentral.